Benincasa hispida (wax gourd) is the source of this 405-nucleotide long non-coding RNA. RefSeq lists it as uncharacterized. The record is from RefSeq and is a predicted model, not a curated record. Lineage: Eukaryota; Viridiplantae; Streptophyta; Magnoliopsida; Cucurbitales; Cucurbitaceae.
AGAAAACAGUAGCGGCCAAGUUUUUUGCUUCGUUCUCCUUGGAAUUCUGCUGUUGCUUUCACUCCAUAGCCACAUUGUUCAUCGAUCCCUUUCGCCACUGUACUGAUUUGAUGUUUUUCUUUGUUCAUCAUUGAAGGGUCCAGUGUCGGAAUCUGCUGUGUGGCGCAUACACACUAAUGGUCAAGCAUUGAAUCACCAAUACCAAUUGCCAAGUAGGAAGAAAAAUCAAGUUGUUUUCUUGCUUUUAAGUCUUAUAUGUUCCUUUUGGUUUUGGAACUAUGCAUAUUAGGCAUGUAUAAAGGGAGAGCUUUUACCUCGUGGGUCGUGAAAGUUUAUCCUUUUGCUUAAAAUUUCCAAAUCAUUGAGCAAUCUUGACUUCUUUUCAUUAUCUAUUUUGUUGCUCUA